GUGAACGCUGGCGGUAGGCCUCACACCUGCCAGUCGAACGGCAGCACAGUAAGAGCUUGCUCUUACGGGUGGCGAGUGGCGGACGGGUGAGGAAUACAUCGGAAUCUACUUUUUCGUGGGGGAUAACGUAGGGAAACUUACGCUCAUACCGCAUACGACCUACGGGUGAAAGCAGGGGAUCUUGUGCCUUUCCUCGAUGAAUUCUCCCGAUGUCGGAUUAGCUAGUUGGCGGGGUAAAGGCCCACCAAGGCGACGAUCCGUAGUUGGUCUGAGAGGAUGAUCAGCCACACUGGAACUGAGACACGGUCCAGACUCCUACGGGAGGCAGCAGUGGGGAAUAUUGGACAAUGGGCGCAAGCCUGAUCCAGCCAUACCGCGUGGGUGAAGAAGGCCUUCGGGUUGUAAAGCCCUUUUGUUGGGAAAGAAAGGCAGCAGGUUAAUACCCCGCUGUUCUGACGGUACCCAAAGAAUAAGCACCGGCUAACUUCGUG
This 491-nucleotide ribosomal RNA is filed under the name uncultured bacterium. RNAcentral's name for it is "partial 16S ribosomal RNA". It matches the Rfam family "Bacterial small subunit ribosomal RNA", at positions 29 to 507 of the family's 1533-position model. The record is from RNAcentral.